RNAcentral lists this ribosomal RNA (209 nucleotides) under uncultured bacterium. Its description in RNAcentral is "partial 16S ribosomal RNA". It matches the Rfam family "Bacterial small subunit ribosomal RNA", at positions 568 to 775 of the family's 1533-position model. The record is from RNAcentral.
CGUGUAGGCGGCCGAUUAAGUCCGGAGUGAAAGUCCUGCUUUCAAGGUGGGGAAUUGCUUUGGAAACUGGUUGGCUUGAGUGCGGAAGAGGUAAGUGGAAUUCCCAGUGUAGCGGUGAAAUGCGUAGAGAUUGGGAGGAACACCAGUGGCGAAGGCGACUUACUGGGCCGUAACUGACGCUGAGGCGCGAAAGCGUGGGGAGCGAACAG